Molecule: long non-coding RNA, 712 nt
Organism: Dermacentor albipictus
Lineage: Eukaryota; Metazoa; Arthropoda; Arachnida; Ixodida; Ixodidae
Source: RefSeq, a predicted model, not a curated record
AUAUGACGAUAGCGUUCGCGUUACUACCGCCCCCGAAGCCUAUGGAUGCAUCGCACGACCGUUGGAUUGCCUGGAAAACUUGGAAAAAGACUCAUGGGACAGCAAACCAGGACCUUGCUGCCUGUGCCCACCAGCCACCUCGUACCAGAGGCAGUAUCAAACAAAGCCGUUCACAGCCGGCUCCAGGAGAUCCGUCAAAGCCAGAAGGUCUACUAUAACUAAAGAACGAGACACCUACCAGCCCUCUCUCCAGGUCAGCCAGUCGCUACAUACGCGAUCCUCCAGCGAACCUGGUCGCCUGCUAUUCUUUUGAGGCCAGCCAACACGCCCCGUUCAGUGAUCUUGAGAACGGGAGAUGGUCGAGAAAUCAGAGGCCCAAGAGAUCACCUGCGGGACUUUCCGAUCCAUGGCGAAGGUAGUCCAGCAAAGGCUCCCGAAGAAGGCUCCAGAGAAGACCACUCCUCUCAAGAGCUACGCAGAAGCACGAGGACUCGCCAGAAGCCCUGUCGGUAUCCGCAACCUGAAAGGCAUAUCUUAUUUUGUUACAGCGCAAGCUUGAAAAGGACAACAGAAGGCACAUCUGACACACACAGCGCUACUUUCAACAACAGAUUUAUUUCUCGUUCUCGUCGCUAUAUAUACACCCUCGACCCGUCAUACACCACGUGUAACAUUUUUGGAAGAAAACAAAAGAUAUAAACUGGGAACCACA